Molecule: transfer RNA, 68 nt
Filed under: Marmota marmota marmota (Alpine marmot)
Lineage: Eukaryota; Metazoa; Chordata; Mammalia; Rodentia; Sciuridae
Also listed under: 2 other names
Rfam family: tRNA
About the family: Transfer RNA (tRNA) molecules are approximately 80 nucleotides in length. Their secondary structure includes four short double-helical elements and three loops (D, anti-codon, and T loops).
Source: Rfam by way of RNAcentral
GUGGUGGCUCAGUGGUAGAGUGCUUGCCUAGCAUGUGUGAGGCACUGGGUUCGAUUCUCAGCAUCACA